UAACAAGGAUUCCCCUAGUAGCGGCGAGCGAAGCGGGAAGAGCUCAAAUUUAUAAUCUGGCACCUUCGGUGUCCGAGUUGUAAUCUCUAGAAGUGUUUUCCGCGUUGGACCGCGCAUAAGUCUGUUGGAAUACAGCGGCACAGUGGUGAGACCCCCGUAUGUGGUGCGGACGCCCAGCGCUUUGUGAUACACUUUCGAAGAGUCGAGUUGUUUGGGAAUGCAGCUCAAAUUGGGUGGUAAAUUCCAUCUAAAGCUAAAUAUUGGCGAGAGACCGAUAGCGAACAAGUACCGUGAGGGAAAGAUGAAAAGCACUUUGGAAAGAGAGUUAACAGUACGUGAAAUUGUUGGAAGGGAAACGCUUGAAGUCAGACUUGCUUGCCGGGCAACCGGUUUGCAGGCCAGCAUCAGUUUUCCGGGGUGGAUAAUGGUAGAGAGAAGGUAGCAGUUUCGGCUGUGUUAUAGCUCUCUACUGGAUACACCUUGGGGGACUGAGGAACGCAGUGUGCCUUACGGCGGAGGUUUCGACCUCUUCACACUUAGGAUGCUGGUGGAAUGGCUUUAAACAA
RNAcentral lists this ribosomal RNA (566 nucleotides) under Rhodotorula sphaerocarpa. Its description in RNAcentral is "LSU rRNA". It matches the Rfam family "Eukaryotic large subunit ribosomal RNA", at positions 66 to 647 of the family's 3401-position model. Lineage: Eukaryota; Fungi; Basidiomycota; Microbotryomycetes; Sporidiobolales; Sporidiobolaceae. The record is from RNAcentral.